UUGCGGCGGUAUCACGUUGUAAUACCGGUUCUCGUACGAUCACAAAAGUUAAGCAACAUUCAGCCUGAUCAAUAUCUAGAUGAGUGACUGCUUGGGAAUACCGGGUGUUGUAAG
Acanthosepion pharaonis is the source of this 114-nucleotide non-coding RNA. The record is from the annotation of a GenBank genome assembly. NCBI's taxonomy places the organism in Eukaryota, Metazoa, Mollusca, Cephalopoda, Sepiida, Sepiidae.